CUAGUUGUAUAUGUUUUGUUGAU
Molecule: small nuclear RNA, 23 nt
Filed under: Arabidopsis thaliana (thale cress)
Lineage: Eukaryota; Viridiplantae; Streptophyta; Magnoliopsida; Brassicales; Brassicaceae
Description: snRNA_15267
Source: RNAcentral